UAGAGCGUAAUUUAUCCAGGAGAAUCUUCCUCUAAGCAGCGCUGUAAUCUUCUAUGCUGGACACACUGAAGAUUUGCUGGACAUUCUGAUGGCAAAAACAGGGAGCUUACCUCUUCUGGGCUUUGAUGAUCUCUCUACUUUUCUCAAGAAACUUGAAGUGGAUUCUGGCAUUCUAGCGGAACUGAGAGGCGUUCCUUUUUAGAGGCAUGCCUUACAAACAUGAAAAGUUCCUUAUUUUCCAGGCUGUGGCUCCAAGGCCUAUGCCAACCGAAAGAACAGGCACAGCUACAGCAGAGCGUCACCACUGCCAUCAGCAGAGAAACCAGGGAGUCCAGAAUCUCAGCGCUUCACCUGGAUACAGUGACACUGAGCGCGUGGCCACCGCUCAACAGCGCGCGCAAACCCCCGUCGCUGCCCCCAGCGGCCGGCAGGGGGCGCCCGCACUCGCCGUGACCGACCCUCCGGCGCCGCCCGCCCAGCGGGGCCCGCCUGGGGCUCCGGCCGCGGACACGGGGAGACCCGGCGCGUCGCCGUCCGCGGGAGCCCGGCCCGGGCGAGGCGCCGCGGGGCUCAGGGACCGCGCGGGGCGGGACAACGCGGAGCAAACGCUUCCUUUCGGCCCGACGCCGCGGGGAGCUCCGCCGGGGCCCCGCCAGAGCCUUCCGCUGCCUGCGCCUGCCCGCGUCCAUCCUUCCCUUUCUCCUGGAAGGUCGGGGCCACACCGUUUCCAAGAGCGCGCGCUCAUUCGGGGACCGGCGGCUCGAGCAGCUACUCCAUCUGGCCUUUUAAUGGCAUUGACCCAGACUCCAUGGAUGUAGGAGAAUACAGAGAGUCCUUUAAACAUUUGGCCAUGUGGGCUUCAGUGGGCUGAACAGUGGUCCACGUUGAGCCCAGAAAAACUGCACCCCCGUCAUACAUUGCAGAACCCACCUGUGGUGCGUGGGCUAUGUGUGUCCUGAAGAAGAUAUCCCACGACUUUACCAAGGACAUACUGAUCACAGAGGACACCUCAGCCCUGAUAGGUCAACUGUUUGCAUUGAGUACAAGAUCCUGCACAAUUUUUAGAAAAAAAAUGGCUGUAAAGAAAGCACUUACCCAAAAAAGGAGUUUGGCAGGCCUGAGAACAUCCCUGCAGGCAUUGUCUUUGUGCUCAAAGACAACCUCUCCUUCUACCUCCCCUGCCUGCAACACACACAUACACACACUCUUGCCAAGAUGGCACCAGGUCCAUCUCAGCUUAUCAGUGUUCCAGUCAGUCACCAGAGCCUGAGUCAGGUCGUGGGGGAGAGGGUUGAGGAGUGGGAGUGGCCUGAUUAGUGAUGAUGGAGACACUCCCACUCCUUCCCACCCACUGGGUCCUUCUUUCCCCUCUUCUUUUGUUUCCCUCCUUUCUACUUCCACAACUCUGACCUUUUCCUUACUCUCUCCUCAUUUUCCUGCAGGCGCUGUGUGGCUGCAUGUGAACAUCCCUAUCACUGAUGACUGUGUGUCCCACUUCCCCUGCAUUGAUGUCAUCGAGCCAGGCAACAGUGUAGUCUCAGUGAGGAGCUGCUUCCUUGCCCACGGUGACCAGCCGGCAGGAAGAAUUCAUUUUUGAGUUCCAAGUUUAUUUCAAAACAGCUGACUAUCACAGAUAUAGCCCAUCUUUAAGUAGUACCUACCAGAGCCUUGGGCCUCAGCACGUCCGUCUCAGUACCAGCACAGCAACACCCCCAACUUCAAGUCGGUUCUCACCUAGGUCUCUGUCCGCUGUACAGUGGCUACUUUUCUAAUAUCUAUAAAAGCGAC
This 1788-nucleotide long non-coding RNA is filed under the name Equus caballus (horse). RNAcentral's name for it is "lncRNA (ENSECAG00000048269.1)". Lineage: Eukaryota; Metazoa; Chordata; Mammalia; Perissodactyla; Equidae. The record is from RNAcentral.